Small nuclear RNA from Oryctolagus cuniculus (rabbit), 117 nucleotides. Its record names the gene U4. It matches the Rfam family "U4 spliceosomal RNA". From Rfam's summary of the family: U4 small nuclear RNA (U4 snRNA) is a component of the major U2-dependent spliceosome. The structure of U4 snRNA from yeast and human has been reported. The record is from Ensembl. Lineage: Eukaryota; Metazoa; Chordata; Mammalia; Lagomorpha; Leporidae.
AGCUUUGCAGAGAGGCAGUAUUGUAGCCAAUGAUGUUAAUCUGAGGCACAAUUAUUGCUAAUUGAAAAUGUUCCUCUAUACAAUCCUCUUCCUAAUUUUUGAUAGUUCACCAGAGUA